AGUGAACGCUGGCGGUAGGCCUAACACAUGCAAGUCGAACGGCAGCACAGUAAGAGCUUGCUCUUACGGGUGACGAGUGGCGGACGGGUGAGGAAUACAUCGGAAUCUACUUUUUCGUGGGGGAUAACGUAGGGAAACUUACGCUAAUACCGCAUACGACCUACGGGUGAAAGCAGUGGAUCUUCGCACCUUGCGCGAUUGAAUGAGCCGAUGUCGGAUUAGCUAGUUGGCGGGGUAAAGGCCCACCAAGGCGACGAUCCGUAGCUGGUCUGAGAGGAUGAUCAGCCACACUGGAACUGAGACACGGUCCAGACUCCUACGGGAGGCAGCAGUGGGGAAUAUUGGACAAAGGGCGCAAGCCUGAUCCAGCCAUACCGCGUGGGUGAAGAAGGCCUUCGGGUUGUAAAGCCCUUUUGUUGGGAAAGAAAAGCAGCAGGUUAAUACCCCGCUGUUCUGACGGUACCCAAAGAAUAAGCACCGGCUAACUUCGUG
RNAcentral lists this ribosomal RNA (492 nucleotides) under uncultured bacterium. Its description in RNAcentral is "partial 16S ribosomal RNA". It matches the Rfam family "Bacterial small subunit ribosomal RNA", at positions 29 to 507 of the family's 1533-position model. The record is from RNAcentral.